Molecule: ribosomal RNA, 253 nt
Filed under: uncultured bacterium
Lineage: Bacteria
Description: partial 16S ribosomal RNA
Rfam family: Bacterial small subunit ribosomal RNA
Source: RNAcentral
UACGGAGGGUGCAAGCGUUAUCCGGAUUCACUGGGUUUAAAGGGUGCGUAGGUGGGCAGGUAAGUCCGUGGUGAAAUCUCUGAGCUUAACUCAGAAACUGCCGUGGAUACUAUUUGUCUUGAAUAUUGUGGAGGUGAGCAGAAUAUGUCAUGUAGCGGUGAAAUGCUUAGAUAUGACAUAGAACACCAAUUGCGAAGGCAGCUCACUACACAAUUAUUGACGCUGAGGCACGAAAGCGUGGGGAUCAAACAGG